CCCUUUUUUCUGGGCACGGAUCGGACACUGAUAAGGUCUAAUGGGCGUGCUUAGCUUGAAGUGCCUUCCCUAUUGCAUUCUAAACUCCGCCCCUCUUCUCUUUCAGGUCUUCAAAACGGAAACACCCCCAACGGUUGCCAUUUUACUUUGGCCAACGCUUGACUGCAAUUGUAGCUGUCAAAGCAAUAUUCCAAAGAGUGCACUUCCCGUUAAUUGCUGUAUGAAGAAAGUGUGUCUCUGCUCGCAUUUGAUUGAAGUUGUCGGUGCUGCUGAGUGGUGCAAGGGGGCAGCGGUUCGCACAACAAAAAGGGCUGAUCUCGGACGCCAAUAUCACCAAUGCUACAGAUUACAGAACAGAUGGUAUAUGCCAUGAAUUGUAAGGAAGCCACAGAGAAGGUUGUCCAGUCAUGGUCACGUUUCAACUCCGCUGGCCAAACUACUCUACUGGAGACUCUGAAAGCGUUCAGUCCUAUGUCAAAAGACCUUUUCGAUACUGAGAAAGAACUGGCCACUUUUAUUGAGGGACUCAAAGAUGAAGGUCACAAGCCUACUGUACUUAAAAGCAAAGAUGUUUAUGGUUACAGGUCUUGUACUGCAGUACUGAGGCCUGUAAUAAAGACACAGAGCACACUGGACAUUGCUGUCUCAAAGGUUCAAAAGCCUGGCAAAAAGAAGGGUAGAAAACCCCAUGGCAAGAAGACUGAAAUCAACUAUUCUUUGUUAAGUGCAGCAGCAAAAGUUGUCCUGAAGAAUCAACCCACAAUUAUUUUGACAAAUCUGUCAAAGGAGUCUCUCAAACAGACUGUCCUCUCUCAACCACCGACCUUGGCUGUUGUGCCUGUUCAGAUGCAGUCAUACAUAAGACUGACUAACAUCACUGGACCCUCUACAGGCCACACAGCGAGACUGCAGUUCCACACAGGUGUAUGGUCAGGAGAGGUGACUGUGCCCAACUCUCAUCGACCACUAUCUCUAACAGGUACCCAAGUACAGCCUUCGGAAGGUACCGGAAACUUAGCAAAAUCUGUCACUUUGAGGAGAGUGAACUUUUUGCCCUGCCCAGUCAAUAUCAUCGGAGUGCCUGCCAUACUGCAAAACGACCGGGUUUUGAAGGAAUGCAACGGAAUGCCUUGCUGGAGGGACCAGAAAAGGAAAAGGACUGACGAGGCUGAAGACAAACUCUGUGUGAAGAGGCCCAGAAAUGAGGUCUGGCUGAUCAAAGAGCAGUCUGAAGACCUUAGACUGAGUGAGAACAACCUGAGGUUCAAGGUGAUCAAGGUUGAUGACUCGAUCACCGAUGAGGAGGUGAGGAGGAAAGCCCAGAAGAUACUGCGAGUUAACUUGUCACCGGUCAUAGAGAUUCAACCACUUAUUGCCUACUCAAUGUGACCGGCCGUAAUAUCUUUGGCUGCGUUUACACAGGCAGCCCAAUUGUUUUUUUUGUUUUUUUAAACCCAAUUAUUGGCAAAGAUCUGAUCAGAUUGGCCAAAAGACCAAUAAUUGCGGGGGGGGGGAAAUAUUUUUAAUUGGUCUGUGUGAACACGGCCUUAAAGUCCUUUUGUCCUCCAUGUAAAUUUCAUCAGUUUGUUGCAUCUCAAGGCAGUGCUUUGUCUUUUAGCUGUGCUCAGCUUGGGAGUAUUGGGAUUGUUUGGGAGGCUUUUUGGAGAUUUGGAAAAUCCUAUUUCUUUGUUAAUAUGUUUAGAUAAGGGGACACUGGGUUAUUGCCUAAACAUCCAAAAAUAUGGUUUAAAGUUUUGUUUACACUGCACAUACUAUAGACUGCCCCUUGACUGUUGAGUGAUGGAAUGGUGAAGUGUGAGGCACAAUGGCUGUCCCCAUAUGAGUUGUACCUGCAGUAUAUCCUUUACAUGUGUGUUUUUGGGACACUGUGAAAUUCCAUUCAUCUGUUUUAUAAAUGAUACAAACAUCUGAUAAUGAAGCCAUGUCAUGUAUAACUAUGCAGCAUUCAUUUGCUAGAAUAUUACAGAUAUUUUAUAUACAUCACUUUUUAGUCAUGUCAUUUCUACUGUAUGUUCGAUUAAAGGGGCAAUUGACAUGGUGUGUUUUCCUGAUGUGUUAUAAAGGUAGUUUUUUCUUUUUUGGACAUGAUAGUUAAGAGAUCCUAGCUAUAUGUUAACAUUUUAUGGCUUUUAUUCUCAUUUGUACAAAGUUUAAGGCAUUUUAUUCCAUUAUCUGCAUUUAAUUUGUAGAAGAAUUUACAUGGCCUUAUGAGUUUUCAGUGUUUUUAAAGCCUCUGGAGGAAACGCUCUAGCCUAUAUUGUGUAUUAUCUGACAUUUAGAACUAUUCCUAAAGCAUUUUCUAGCUUUGAAAUUUGGACCUUGUUUUUUUUCUGUAAUUGGAGGAAGGUAUGCCAGUAGGUUUCUUUUAUUCAAGUAUCCAACUCUCCAUUAGGUUCAACUGAUUUGAUUUAUCCGUCCUUGACCUUUCCAUUCUCAAUCGAAGGCAGAGUAAAGCUUUUUUGCGUUGGGUUAUAUUUUGCUUGCUUUGAUUUUCAUGUGCCAAAUGUAUAUUUUUGGUGCUUCUCAAUUGCACUUUUCUUUUUUUUUUCUCCUUCUCCCCCAACUGAGAAUGUUGUCUCUGUUAGCUACAUAUUCUAAAUCACACAUGCUUUGAACAAAAUGUCUGAGGCACUUUUAGGUUUGUGAAGAGGUAGAGAUACAUUUCAUGUUCAAUGUAGCUUAAUUUAUAUCUAUUUAAAAAAACAACUUUUUUUAAAACUUUUUGUAUGAACCACAAUGAUACUCUUAACAAAGACAUCUGUUAACAUGUUAUGGUUAUUGUGUGUUGGGAAUUACUGUUGAACUGUAAAAUAAAGCAUUUUGACCACUUCUUUCUCUGGAUUACCUGGCAUUUACAUUUUAAUAAUGGGUCAUUCUACUCAUAACCAUAUUUGUGAUGACUAGUACCUUUUUUUAUUUCUUUACUUUUACCCCCCCCCCCCCCCCCCCCAAUUUCAUAAUAUCCAAUUGGUAGUUAGUCUUGUCCUGUCGCUGCAACUCCCGUACGAAGGUCGAGAGCCAUGCGUCCUCCGAAACACUACCCUGCCAAGCCGUAUUGCUUCUUGACACACUGCUUGCCUAACCCAGAAACAGCCGCACCAAUGUGUCGGAGGAAACAACGUACAACUGGCAACAGUGUCAGUGUGCAUGUACCCGGCCCAACACAGGAGUUGCUAGAGAGAAAUGGGACAAGGACAUCCCAGCCGGCCAUACCCUCCCCUAACCCGGGCGACGCUGGCCCAAUUGUGCGUUGCCUCUUGUCUCCCGGUCGCGGUCGGCUGCCACACAGCCCGGAAUCAAACCCGGGUCUGUAGUGAUGCCUCAAGCAGUGCAGUGCUUUAGACUGCUGCGCUACUCGGGACGCCCAAUGACUGGUACUUUUGCCUGAAACCUGAAUAGUUAAGUUCGUUCAAGCUAAAUCCUAGACAGACUUAAGCCUACAUAGUGUUGUGACACAGGAGACGUGGGUUCGAACCCAGUUGGUCAAUAGCAGUGUGAAGGGAAAUGUUUGCUUUUCUAAUAACCAAUUUGACUGGGUUCAUGCAAGUGACUGACCGUGCCUGGGAGAAUCCUCAUCAGUAUUGGAGAUUUUGUACGCCCAGAACAUUGUUUUGAGGAUGGAUAUCUCAGUUUUCAAGGUCGAAGCUUGGAGGGAAGCUUCAUGAGGUAUUGGUCGCUCACAUGCAUGCACCAAAAGUUAAUGGUGAUUUUUAUGAAUAAUGUAACUCAUGCAAAUAUAAUUUGUCUGUUUUAAGCAGUAUAUAAGAACGAACUGGACUGCCCUGUUGGAGCUCUUGACUGACGUGUAGUGUACUAUGGUGCAUUGAGUUUGUUGAAACCGCUCCAGCUUGCUGUUAAUAAAGAAUGAUUAAUUUAAGAUUGACUUCAGGUGUCCCUGGUGAUUUCCCUGACAAUUUGGCAUCACAAACUAAAUGAUUGGUUCUGCCUGCGGAGUUUUCCAGUGAGGGCCUGCGAGGGAAAACCGUUGGUGCACUUUAGAAAGCGUGAGGGGAAAUUCCUGUCUGACCAACAGACAAGGACCCUUCUGCGAGCUGCCCAGGAGGGGACGCAUCAUCCGUGGACAAUUGAGGGACACUGCAACUGAAUUUCAGUUAUGGCGCAGAUGACCACAGAAGGUAUCUCGAUGCACGGAAGGGAUAAUUCAACCAAGAAAGUGAGCCUCACCACCUCUAACCAUCUGAAGUAAUAGCAACAAUGGCGUUCACCUCUUCAUCCUGAGUCCAAGCCAGAAACCUGUACACAGUAUCCAGUUGAAGCUAUCAACUGACCUUUCUCUCAUGCCUUUUCUCUCAGGAGUGCGACAUGAGUCCACGUGGAGUGAGCAUGAAGAGAGAACCUGUCCAAACUUCUCUCAUGCUGCUUGUCUACUUGGUAGGAAAAUGUACAAGACAUAAUGGACCGUAAAGGACAGUGGUGGCUCAGGUGGGUGAUUUGUCUGCUUGGGAAAAUCAGAUCAUUAUCAAGGGCCAUCCACUUUGAACAUGUGCCAUUGGGAGGACAAACUGAAAUACUAUCUAAAGAAGAAAAUGAAGAAAUGCCAGAAGAAUGAGUGCUGGGGGAGGGGUUAACCAUGCUCGUAAUUGAUUUAGGCUUGUCCAAAAUUGUUCAUUUGGAGUAUCAGGUUAAUUGUGGAGGUCGAAGGAAUUGUCCGAUGAUCUCCAAGAGAGGAUUGGGUCGAGGCACAGAUCUGGAGAAGGGUACACAAAA
This is an RNA transcript of Oncorhynchus kisutch (coho salmon), 4749 nucleotides long. It is a transcript of the gene named coiled-coil domain-containing protein 71-like, with no coding region annotated. NCBI's taxonomy places the organism in Eukaryota, Metazoa, Chordata, Actinopteri, Salmoniformes, Salmonidae. The record is from RefSeq and is a predicted model, not a curated record. The transcript is spliced from 3 exons.